AUUGAACGCUGGCGGCAUGCCUUACACAUGCAAGUCGAACGGUAACGGGCCUUCGGGUGCCGACGAGUGGCGAACGGGUGAGUAAUACAUCGGAACGUGCCCGAUCGUGGGGGAUAACGAGGCGAAAGCUUUGCUAAUACCGCAUACGAUCUACGGAUGAAAGCAGGGGACCGCAAGGCCUUGCGCGGACGGAGCGGCCGAUGGCAGAUUAGGUAGUUGGUGGGAUAAAAGCUUACCAAGCCGACGAUCUGUAGCUGGUCUGAGAGGAUGAUCGGCCACACUGGGACUGAGACACGGCCCAGACUCCUACGGGAGGCAGCAGUGGGGAAUUUUGGACAAUGGGCGCAAGCCUGAUCCAGCCAUGCCGCGUGCAGGAUGAAGGCCUUCGGGUUGUAAACUGCUUUUGUACGGAACGAAAAGCCUUCUUUUAAUACAGGAGGGUCAUGACGGUACCGGAAGAAUAAGCACCGGCUAACUACGUG
Molecule: ribosomal RNA, 482 nt
Filed under: uncultured bacterium
Lineage: Bacteria
Description: partial 16S ribosomal RNA
Rfam family: Bacterial small subunit ribosomal RNA
Source: RNAcentral